This 234-nucleotide ribosomal RNA is filed under the name uncultured bacterium. Its description in RNAcentral is "partial 16S ribosomal RNA". It matches the Rfam family "Bacterial small subunit ribosomal RNA", at positions 97 to 334 of the family's 1533-position model. The record is from RNAcentral.
GGCGGACGGGUGAGUAAUGUCUGGGAAACUGCCCGAUGGAGGGGGAUAACUACUGGAAACGGUAGCUAAUACCGCAUAACGUCGCAAGACCAAAGAGGGGGACCUUCGGGCCUCUUGCCAUCGGAUGUGCCCAGAUGGGAUUAGCUAGUAGGUGGGGUAACGGCUCACCUAGGCGACGAUCCCUAGCUGGUCUGAGAGGAUGACCAGCCACACUGGAACUGAGACACGGUCCAG